Molecule: ribosomal RNA, 574 nt
Filed under: Bacillus sp. SC10T
Lineage: Bacteria; Bacillati; Bacillota; Bacilli; Caryophanales; Bacillaceae
Description: bacterial SSU rRNA
Rfam family: Bacterial small subunit ribosomal RNA
Source: RNAcentral
GACGAACGCUGGCGGCGUGCCUAAUACAUGCAAGUCGAGCGAAUCUAAAGGUGCUUGCACCUUUUGGUUAGCGGCGGACGGGUGAGUAACACGUGGGCAACCUGCCUGUAAGACUGGGAUAACUUCGGGAAACCGGAGCUAAUACCGGAUAAUCCUUUUCCUCUCAUGAGGAAAAGCUGAAAGUCGGUUUACGCUGACACUUACAGAUGGGCCCGCGGCGCAUUAGCUAGUUGGUGAGGUAACGGCUCACCAAGGCGACGAUGCGUAGCCGACCUGAGAGGGUGAUCGGCCACACUGGGACUGAGACACGGCCCAGACUCCUACGGGAGGCAGCAGUAGGGAAUCUUCCGCAAUGGACGAAAGUCUGACGGAGCAACGCCGCGUGAGCGAUGAAGGCCUUCGGGUCGUAAAGCUCUGUUGUUAGGGAAGAACAAGUAUCGGAGUACUGCCGGUACCUUUGACGGUACCUAACCAGAAAGCCACGGCUAACUACGUGCCAGCAGCCGCGGUAAUACCGUAGGUGGCAAAGCGUUGUCCGGAAUUAUUGGGCGUAAAGCGCGCGCAGGCGGUCCUU